Non-coding RNA from Myotis davidii, 70 nucleotides. NCBI's taxonomy places the organism in Eukaryota, Metazoa, Chordata, Mammalia, Chiroptera, Vespertilionidae. The record is from Rfam.
GUGCUCACUUCAGCAGCACAUAUACUAAAAUUGGAACGCUACAAAGAAGAUUAGCAUGGCCUCUGUGCAA